GCGAAGGCGGCGAACAUGACGACGGGGGGUGAAGAGCUCCCGUCCUCCCGCGGACACUCCCACAGUCCGCCGCUCGACCAAGCGUCGUCUUUGCCCGUAAAGGACGCGGAUUUCCCUUUCGCUGUUGUGACACUGCAGUGCUGGGACGGCGUGGCCACGGGAAAGAAUUGAGCUGAAGUGUCUCACAACGAUAAGACGUCCCCAGUCUCCUGUUGGAUGGAGGCAAGUUUCUGUUGAUGCCAUCGUGUAACUGAUCCGAGGUAGAGGAAAGGCCUUUCUUGGCGUUGGUGGCAGUCUACUGAGCACGUAGCUGUUGUGACAUAUUUGAUUCUGAGCCUUUAUUUUUAUUUUACGAUUGUA
This is a long non-coding RNA of Gasterosteus aculeatus aculeatus (three-spined stickleback), 360 nucleotides long. RefSeq lists it as uncharacterized. Lineage: Eukaryota; Metazoa; Chordata; Actinopteri; Perciformes; Gasterosteidae. The record is from RefSeq and is a predicted model, not a curated record.